This 101-nucleotide microRNA precursor is filed under the name Prunus persica (peach). RNAcentral's name for it is "miR319b stem-loop (ppe-MIR319b)". Its record names the gene ppe-MIR319b. The record is from miRBase by way of RNAcentral. Lineage: Eukaryota; Viridiplantae; Streptophyta; Magnoliopsida; Rosales; Rosaceae.
AGGAUUUAAUUAGCUGCCGAGUCAUUCAUCCAAAUACUGGGUAAAUUAGCUCAGGACACCCAGUAAAUGUGUGAAUGAAGCGGGAGACAAAUUGGAUCUUA